Molecule: ribosomal RNA, 404 nt
Filed under: Actinomycetes bacterium
Lineage: Bacteria; Bacillati; Actinomycetota; Actinomycetes
Description: Actinobacteria bacterium partial 16S ribosomal RNA
Rfam family: Bacterial small subunit ribosomal RNA
Source: RNAcentral
UGGGGAAUAUUGGACAAUGGGCGCAAGCCUGAUCCAGCCAUGCCGCGUGAGUGAUGAAGGCCCUAGGGUUGUAAAGCUCUUUCACCGGUGAAGAUAAUGACGGUAACCGGAGAAGAAGCCCCGGCUAACUUCGUGCCAGCAGCCGCGGUAAUACCAAGGGGGCUAGCGUUGUUCGUAUUUACUGGGCGUAAAGCGCACGUAGGCGGACUUUUAAGUCAGGGGUGAAAUCCCGGGGCUCCACCCCGGAACUGCCUUUGAUACUGGAAGUCUUGAGUAUGGUAGAGGUUAGUGGAAUUCCGAGUGUAAAGGUGAAAUUCGUAGAUAUUCGGAGGAACACCAGUGGCGAAGUCGGCUCACUGGACCAUUACUGACGCUAAGGUGCGAAAGCGUGGGGAGCAAACAGG